Henosepilachna vigintioctopunctata is the source of this 72-nucleotide non-coding RNA. Lineage: Eukaryota; Metazoa; Arthropoda; Insecta; Coleoptera; Coccinellidae. The record is from the annotation of a GenBank genome assembly.
GUUUUUGUAGCCUAUAGGUUAAGGUGCACGUCUGCCACGCUAGCAAUCUAGGUUCGAAUCCUGGGUAAGACA